This is a long non-coding RNA of Polypterus senegalus (gray bichir), 2315 nucleotides long. RefSeq lists it as uncharacterized. NCBI's taxonomy places the organism in Eukaryota, Metazoa, Chordata, Cladistia, Polypteriformes, Polypteridae. The record is from RefSeq and is a predicted model, not a curated record. The transcript is spliced from 10 exons.
CCGGGACUAUUCUGAUACAUAAUUAAAUCACGGGAUUAAUUCAACAAAAACAAGUUUAAUUAGUUCCACUACAAAUCUCCAGGCACCUCACACGCAGAUAAGGAACCUUGGCUUGACCUGGGAGAACAUUUUGCCUGAGUCGAGCUCCGUCAAGGGGGCGAUGGGAUAGCAGGCUGUUUGCUGCUUGUGCUGAUCAACACAUCUACAAAACAAAAGAUGCUGAUGGAAAGUGCAAUGGAAUUAAAGAGUCUGACGGGUGACCUCAGCCGUUACCCGGUUGGGACGCCAGCUGGAUGGAAGGACUGGGGGAGACAGCAUCUGCAGGGCAUGCUGGGACAUUGGUACAGCCCUUUUGGGUUCAGUGGAGGCAGAGCCCUAUAGUGGACUUCCACCAUGCCUGAGAGUGUUUCCAGGUAAUACUGAUGAGCCACCUGGAGCACUCCCAGGAGCUGAAUAAAAGGACCUGCCAAACUCCAUUCGGAAAGGCAGAGUCAGAUCUCUGAGAAGGUGCCCAGUGAGGACACCUGACCCUACUCACAACUCCCAGAGAAGACCCCACCAAUCUAUAAACGGGAUGUGCCCUCAAAGGAGGUGUCUCAUUUGGACCUGAGCCUUGUACAGGACGGGGAUCCUUGUGUAACCAAAGUAAGAGAAGGAGAUUACAACGCACACACCUCUGUUUCAGUGAACAGUCAUAGAAAGAGUCAUAAACACUGAUUGUUCCCAAGAAUAGAGAAAAGAAAAAAAUGGCAAGAAGAACCUCAUUCAAAGAAAAUAUAGCCAAUUAACACAAAAGACUCAAACCUUUCUUACAUACAAAGCCCUUAAACACGCCUCUGUGCAUGCAGUGAAGACCGACAGAUGCAGGAACACAAUGCUCUUGUAAAUUUACAAAACCAGGCAUGAAGCAGAAGCAGACAAUGGCCAACAGUGAAAUGAUUCUCAUCGUUGAAGAACUCCAGGCUCUUGACAACCAGAUCCAGAAACUCCUGUCCAGAUGGAGGUACCUGAGGGAUUUGAAGGCUCGGCUGCUGGAAAAAUCAUCCUCGUCAUCUGAAAUCGACACAACACAUCGAGCUUCAGUAACAUCGAUUCCACGCUGCGCCGCUCACCUCCAAGGCCAGUGAGCUUCACCCCCGCGCUUCGUCGUCGGAGCGACGGCGCCAAUGAUGAAGACAUCGGCUUGUUUCAGCUAUGCUGGCGGGGGUUUAAGGCUAGAACACCUCCAUCAGCACAGGCAAGCAUCUCCACCCAGAACCAGUUCAACACUCUCCAUGCCCCCAGUUUGCCUUCAACCCCAUGUGAUGUAUUUGUGAUUGGUGAUUCAAUCGUAAGAAAUCUAAACAUCGCAUGCCCUAAUCAGAAAUCUUUUGUUUCUUGUUUUCCCGGUGCUCGUGUCCGAGAUGUUUUGAGACGUGUGCCGACAGUCUCCAAGAAGCACAAGAACAGGGCAAUGGGAUCCAUUGUAAUACAUGCCGGGGUAAACGACGUGAGACACCAACAUUCGGAGAUUCUCAAGACGGACUUCGCAGCACAAAUCAAAGCCACGAAGGAGAGGACCCCAUCUGCAAGAAUCUUUAUCUUGGGUCCCCUACCUCUCGAUUGAACGAAUAUUACAGUCAUCUGCUGGGAUUAAACACCUGGCUGAAAGGCUUCUGCAAGAAUCAAAACAUUGGGUUCAUAGACAACUGGGACCUCUUCUGGGAGAGGCCGCAUUUCAUCAAGUGGGAUGGUCUGCAUCCAAAUAGAUUUGGCACCGGGGUCCUCUCCAAAAACAUCGCUAAGGAGGAUUAAAGUCACUUUUUUAUGAAAGUACUGGCAAUCAGAUUCAUUGUUCAUCAAAAACAAUUUCCUGUUGAAUACAGUAUAAGCAGAUGAGCCGCAGGUGGAAGGAGAUAAUAGUUGCACCGACUUACCAUAUUGCAGACCAGAGUAACUGACAUCACACCAGAAGUGGGACAUCUGCAUAGUCACUACCACCUGAUCGAAAUCCUGUGCAGCCACCUGUAACAUUUGAAUGAAGGUGGAUAACCCAACCUGACACAAGACCCAAGGUAUCAAAUCCUCGAAGACGAUGCCUAAAAAACCAAUAAAGAACUACUAAAGAAUAUUUAGGUGUUGUAGAAUCACCAGAAAGGGCUGGGUGGUCUUCUGGCCAGGAUCCCCUAAACAAAAAGAUUUUGUUUUUAAAUUUGUUUUUAUCUCCACCGUGGCCAACUGAGCUUAUCAUUGCACUUAGAGACUAAAAAAUAUAUAUAUAUUUAUAUAUAUUGUGGAGCCGAACCGGACACAGACAGGCGGACAUGUUGUUUUUC